This is a long non-coding RNA of Carassius gibelio (silver crucian carp), 825 nucleotides long. RefSeq lists it as uncharacterized. Lineage: Eukaryota; Metazoa; Chordata; Actinopteri; Cypriniformes; Cyprinidae. The record is from RefSeq and is a predicted model, not a curated record. The transcript has 2 exons.
AUUCGGUUGGCACCAUAUUCUCCUGCAUGGUCCACUCUCAUCAUCCUGUGAAGCAUGGCUUUUUCUUCUUCAUCAUUGGUGGGAGGCAACACAACAUAUCCCCUUACACUGGACACAACAGCUGAGAGUCACACAAACAUGCAAUGGAGAUGCUGUCAUUUCUGGACACAGUGGAGUGGGCGUCUGCUGGUGGGUGUUGACACAGAACCUACAGCGUGUCUGAAUGCUGCUAUCGCUGAGAUCAGAGAACAGUAUGAAGGCCUGGUGAAAAACUGAAGCACGGAUAAAAUAUGGGGUUAAUAAUUUUAGAAGCAAACACACACACAUCGAGUCGUUUCUGUUGUUUUUCACUCUUCCCUUUUGUCAGUAACAGAUAGUUGAAUUUUAAACGGAAAGCUUUUUUGUCCAUUUUAUUUAUAUGAAAUUUAGUCUUAUACAUGACUCUUAACAGCUCAUAGCAUCCUAAUAUAUUGCAUGAGUCACUUUACCUCAUGCCUCCACACAGUGGCACUCUCACACAGCAAAUCUUAUUCCGCUGACUCCACGAAGGAGCACGGGGCCUAUAGCAAAUAACAAAUAGCAGCAGUAAACUCCAUUUAAUUGUGAUUUACCAAUCAAUUUUCAGGAUCGAAAUGAAAACUAUUUUUCCUCGUGGAAGUUUCUAGAAAAUGUUUAAGAAAAGUGUUCACAAUACAUGUAAAGAUAAUUACUUGGGAUCACAGCUGUCAUGUACAUGUAUGGACAUUACAAAGACUUUUUAAAGAAUGUGUUUAACCAUUUUUGAGGUUAGAUUCCCUGGCAAUGUAAUAAAAUGUGUGUUUUGAA